RNA transcript from Mirounga angustirostris (Northern elephant seal), 2257 nucleotides. It is a transcript of the gene named neuromedin S, with no coding region annotated. The record is from RefSeq and is a predicted model, not a curated record. The transcript has 12 exons. NCBI's taxonomy places the organism in Eukaryota, Metazoa, Chordata, Mammalia, Carnivora, Phocidae.
UCACACUAUAUUCUAAAGAGAAAAAUAUGUAUGAUGUAAUUCAGUUUUUAUUUUUUUAAAUAUAUGGUAUAUUAUAUACUCUAGGCAUUGAUAAAAUACCAAAAGGGAUAGAUACCCAAUGCUGACAGUGGUUAUCUCUUAGGCUGGGGAUUAUAGUGAUUAUAUUUUCUUUUGACUUCUCUGCAGCUUAAAAUAACUUCUAAAAAAAAGUCCAUGCUUUAUGUUUGUGAUAUUGAAAAACAGAAGCUAUUGCUUUAUAAAUUGCUUUAGAGCAAUUGAAAAAUAAAUGAAUAUGGACCCUUGCUGUGAGAAUUUCCAGAUAUCUGACAUUGAGUGACAUUUAAAAAACUGUUUAAUUCCUUCUUGUUUUUGCUUUUAGAGAGAGAUGGCACACACAAGUGGGUGGGGGGCCUUCAUUCCUCUGACUAAAGUGACGACCUGAAGAAGAUACUUGUGCCCGUUGUCACAAAGCUGAUGUGCACCUGGCAGGAGGUAGAAGGCCUGGAAGCCUGAGGAGGAAUGCAGCUAGACCUGGUAGAGCUGUGGGUCUGGCUGCUGCCUCACACCAAGGUGGGGGGCCGAUCCACAGUCUCAGUCAUGGUCUGCAACCACACCGGACUCUCUACAAACCAGGAAGCCAGGAGCACGCACUCAUUACACCACAGGACCUGGGGAGGGUGAAGUCAUGUGUAAGUGUUGCUGCUUGUGGAGUGCUCAUGGAGCCCAGGAGAGCUGCUCUGCUGGAGGCACCACCCAAAGCGGGGAAAAACAACAACAACAACAGAAAUGGCUCUCACUUCCAUCUUCCAAACUCCUUCCAUCCUCUUCUCUCAUUGACAGAAACUACCGGGAAGCCAGUUGGGAAGAGAGCUUAUUUUGUAGGUUUCUAGCUCUUCAUGAUCGGAGGGGAAUAAUAAGGAAAGGCAUUUAUGGAGCUGAAGGCCAAUGGACAAGUUACUGGCCCAACUGUCUGAUAUGUUACUCUGGGCAAAGGAAAAUAUACAUAAAGACUUGGAGUUGGACAGUGGGUGCAUUUCAAGACAAAGACAUCAUCUCUUCCUGGUGUUUGAAGACCUUAGGUUAUUCUCCUUGAACUACAGUGAUGACUCUCUACAAUGCCUACACCAGGAGGAUAUUAUUCUACAAAUAAGGGCCCAGCAUGACAUUUAUGAGAAAGCCAGGGUCCUUCUGCGCAAAACUGAUUGGUGCUCAGCCAAUGGGCUCUGGGGCAUUGCAAAUAAAGGUACGUUCUCCACUGGGCCUGAUCAGAAGCAGGGCAGAGUGUUGCCUCUGCCUGUGGAACUUCAGGAAAUGCUCAACUCCUGGCCUAGCCGACUACAUCUGUGGCUAGCAAAGAGAAACUGGGCUUUGAAGAUGAAACACCUUGUUCCUCAAUUCCCUUCCAUCUUGGCCAUCUAUUGCUUCUGCAUGCUACAGAUUCCCUCUUCAGUAGGAUUUCCUCGACCUCUAGCUGAUCCCCCAGAUGGCUUGGAUGUCAUGCAGCUUGAGCGUCUGGCAUAUUGGGCAACUCUUUCUAGGCAACUUAAGGAUAAUCAAGACAUAUACAAAAGGUUUUUAUUUCACUACUCCAGAACUCAGAAGCCGACACAGCCAGUUAAAAGUGGGAUUCCUCCCGUGCACCCGUUAAUGCGCCUGGCCGCGCAGCUCGAAGACCGGAGGGUGAAGAGAUUUCCGCAACAGCGCGUAGGAUUCGGGGACUGCCACAGUGGAUUUCACCAAGAAGGUUUUCCUGAGCUUGUCCUGAGGCAGAGAGGACUCCUGGAGCAAUGCUUCUUGCUGUUUAUAUUUCAUCUCCAGCCUUGCAGAUGAGUCACCUGGGCCCAUCUGUUCCUGAGGAUUUGCUUGAUGUGGCUCAGGGGCCCACAUGGCAGUUGUACAAACUUGGGGAGAGGUACUGCGAGUGCAUAAGCCCCGUAUACCAGCGCUUCUCCAAGUUGACCAUGAGUCAUCCAUACCUUGGGAUCUUGUUAAAAUUCUGACUGCUAGGGCAUCAGUAGGGACCUGAGAAUUUGCAUUUCUAACUAAGUCUCAGGUGUCAUUGACGCUUUUGGUCUGGGGACCACACUUUGAAAACUGCGGUCAUAGACAUCGUCAGAACUUUGGCACAAACUGGUUGCAUAAUGGUUUGUGUUUUUAUGUUGCAGGAUCACACUGCCACCCGGGGACGACCAUUUUUCCUUUUCAGGCCAAGGAACGGAAGAAACACGGACGAUAACACCCAGUAGGACAGUCCAAG